GCCUGGGUAGCUCAGUUGGUUAAGCAUCUGACUUUGGCUCAGGUCAUGAUCACACGGUCUGUGAGUUCCAGCCCCAUGCCAGGCU
Molecule: transfer RNA, 85 nt
Organism: Felis catus (domestic cat)
Lineage: Eukaryota; Metazoa; Chordata; Mammalia; Carnivora; Felidae
Rfam family: tRNA
About the family: Transfer RNA (tRNA) molecules are approximately 80 nucleotides in length.
Source: Rfam